AUGCUUACUUGGCAGGAGAGAUACCGUAAUAACGAAAAGUGGUUUUCCCAGGGCGAGGCUGAUCCACUGCACUCGGGACCUACUGACCCGUGUGAUUCCCCUACAUGGGGGAAACUCGAGUACAUAAUUUGUGUUGGUGAGGAGUUGUGUGCGCGCUUUCUCCC
Choloepus didactylus (southern two-toed sloth) is the source of this 164-nucleotide small nuclear RNA. RefSeq annotates it as U1 spliceosomal RNA. The transcript has a single exon. The record is from RefSeq and is a predicted model, not a curated record. NCBI's taxonomy places the organism in Eukaryota, Metazoa, Chordata, Mammalia, Pilosa, Megalonychidae.